RNAcentral lists this long non-coding RNA (207 nucleotides) under Brachypodium distachyon (stiff brome). RNAcentral's name for it is "long non-coding RNA (BDIS_LNC000625)". Lineage: Eukaryota; Viridiplantae; Streptophyta; Magnoliopsida; Poales; Poaceae. The record is from RNAcentral.
CGUCUACAACAUUGAUGUCCUCCUUUCAAACCCCAACAUUUCGCGGUUGUGUUUUUCCCAUUUCACUUGUAGUAUUAAGCCACAUGUGGCAACAUCACAAAACUUUAUAAAAGAGAGAUUGGACGGUGGCUGAUUUUUUCCUUAGGGGACUGCAAAAAAUUGUUAAAACUUUUUCUUAUUCGUCGUUACACUUUAAUUGAAAAAAUU